AACGAACGCUGGCGGCAUGCCUAACACAUGCAAGUCGAACGAGAUCUUCGGGUCUAGUGGCGCACGGGUGCGUAACGCGUGGGAAUCUGCCCUUUGGUUCGGAAUAACAGUUGGAAACGACUGCUAAUACCGGAUGAUGACGAAAGUCCAAAGAUUUAUCGCCAGAGGAUGAGCCCGCGUAGGAUUAGCUAGUUGGUGUGGUAAAGGCGCACCAAGGCGACGAUCCUUAGCUGGUCUGAGAGGAUGAUCAGCCACACUGGGACUGAGACACGGCCCAGACGCCUACGGGAGGCAGCAGUGGGGAAUAUUGGACAAUGGCCGAAAGCCUGAUCCAGCAAUGCCGCGUGAGUGAAGAAGGCCUUAGGGUUGUAAAGCUCUUUUACCCGGGAUGAUAAUGACAGUACCGGGAGAAUAAGCUCCGGCUAACUCCGUGCCAGCAGCCGCCGUAA
This 449-nucleotide ribosomal RNA is filed under the name uncultured bacterium. RNAcentral describes it as "partial 16S ribosomal RNA". It matches the Rfam family "Bacterial small subunit ribosomal RNA", at positions 29 to 523 of the family's 1533-position model. The record is from RNAcentral.